Molecule: long non-coding RNA, 1010 nt
Filed under: Homo sapiens (human)
Lineage: Eukaryota; Metazoa; Chordata; Mammalia; Primates; Hominidae
Description: HSALNT0405982
Source: RNAcentral
CACCUAGAAGAGUGACAGGAGGAGGAUGAAACCUGUGGGAUCCUGUUUCCUCACAGGAACUUGCUGCUUCCCUGAGGCCUCAGAAUUGGAAUAGUGGCUUCUAGUCCUUUCUCUGGAGACCCUGGAUAUAGCAGAGGCCCCACAGUCACGCUUUGCCUUCUCAGUUCAAUUUCCUUUUCCUUGUGUGUGUCUCUUCUUCAACUGGACCUACAGCUUCUUGGGGCGGGGACUGAGACCCUACGUCUGCAAUCAGGGACUCCUACAGCCGGGAGGCAUUUGGGUCUCUUCCCAGCGCAGGCAACGCAUACUAAUAAGCCCAGGGAAGAAGAGUCAGACCCAGUGCCAGCGCAGGGGAAACGCAUCUAAUCCAGAACAGCAGACACAGCUCCUCUCCCAUGGAACACCCAGAGCAGACAUUGCCAGUCGAUCCCAGCACCCUUUCCCCGGGAGCCUGGGCUCAGCCUCAAGACUUUGCUUCCGCUUCACAAAGCUCUGCACAGCCAGUUCUCAUCAAUUGGAGUUGGUCCAAAAUAUGGAAACUCUUUGCUCUGCCUGACCCAAACCAUUCCUCUUUCCCAUAACAAUUCUGACAUUUAAAAACAGCAGAAUUCCCCAACACUCAUCCCCGGGAAAAGAAAUUUGGCAUUGUUGGUACUUUCAACUCCUGACCCUGGUCAGCUGUUGAGUCAACUUGUGGUUGAGUCUGAGCCCCAUUUCUGCAGACAGAAAGACCGCAUUUGCGUUUCUGAGUCUCAGGUUUAGGAUGAAUUUUGUAUAGUCACUGUAACAAAUUACUGCAAACGUAGUGGCUUAAAAUAAAACAAAUCCAUUAGCUUACAAUUCCAGAGAUUAAAAGUCCAAAAUGAAUCUUUAAAAAAUUUUUAAUUUAGUUUUAUUUUUUAAUUUUCCUUUUUUUUGAGACAGAGUCUCACUCUGUCGCCCAGGCUGGAGUGCAGUGGCACGAUCUUGGCUCACUGCAACCUCCACCUCCCGGGUUCAAGGGAUUCUAG